UGCCAGCCGCCGCGGUAAUACGUAGGGUCCGAGCGUUAUCCGGAAUCAUUGGGCGUAAAGAGCUCGUAGGCGGUUCAGCAAGUCGGCUGUGAAAGUUCGAGGCUCAACCUCGAAAUUGCAGUCGAUACUGCUGUGACUUGAAUUCGGUAGAGGAGAAUGGAAUUCCCGGUGUAGCGGUGAAAUGCGCAGAUAUCGGGAGGAACACCAGUAGCGAAGGCGGUUCUCUGGGCCGAUAUUGGCGCUGAGGAGCGAAAGCGUGGGGAGCAAACAGGAUUAGAUA
This 280-nucleotide ribosomal RNA is filed under the name uncultured bacterium. Its description in RNAcentral is "partial 16S ribosomal RNA". It matches the Rfam family "Bacterial small subunit ribosomal RNA", at positions 506 to 784 of the family's 1533-position model. The record is from RNAcentral.